RNAcentral lists this ribosomal RNA (478 nucleotides) under uncultured bacterium. Its description in RNAcentral is "partial 16S ribosomal RNA". It matches the Rfam family "Bacterial small subunit ribosomal RNA", at positions 28 to 507 of the family's 1533-position model. The record is from RNAcentral.
GAUGAACGCUGGCGGCGUGCUUAACACAUGCAAGUCGAACGGGAAUUGUUUUAUUGUAACUGCGGUCGAUUUGAUUUAAUUCUAGUGGCGGACGGGUGAGUAACGCGUGGGUAACCUGCCUUAUACAGGGGGAUAACAGUCAGAAAUGGCUGCUAAUACCGCAUAAGCGCACAGAGCUGCAUGGCUCAGUGUGAAAAACUCCGGUGGUAUAAGAUGGACCCGCGUUGGAUUAGCUUGUUGGCAGGGUAACGGCCUACCAAGGCGACGAUCCGUAGCCGGCAUGAGAGGGUGAACGGCGACAUUGGGACUGAGAAACGGCCCAGAAUACUACGGGAGGCAGCAGUGGGGAAUAUUGCACAAUGGGGGAAACGCUGAUGCAGCGACGCCGCGUGAAGGAAGAAGUAUCUCGGUAUGUAAACUUCUAUAAGCAGGGAAGAUAGUGACGGUACCUGAAUAAGAAGCCCCGGCUAACUACGUG